This 478-nucleotide ribosomal RNA is filed under the name uncultured bacterium. RNAcentral's name for it is "SSU rRNA". It matches the Rfam family "Bacterial small subunit ribosomal RNA", at positions 26 to 521 of the family's 1533-position model. The record is from RNAcentral.
AGGAUGAACGCUGGCGGCGUGCCUAACACAUGCAAGUCGAACGUCCUGUCUCGCAAGAGGCAGGGAGUGGCGGACGGGUGAGUACCACGUGGGUCAUCUACCGUGAGGUGAGGAAUACCGGCGAGAAAUCGCCGACAAGACCGCAUAGCCUCGGUGCAAGUCGAGGAAAGCUCUCUCGAGAGAGGGAGCGCCACACGAGGAGCCUGCGCCCGAUUAGCUAGCUGGUGGAGUAAUGGUUCACCAGGGCGACGAUCGGUAGCUGGUCUGAGAGGACGAUCAGCCACACUGGGAUUGAGAACGGCCCAGACUCCUACGGGGGCAGCAGUGAGGAAUUUUCGUCAAUGGGGGCAACCCUGAACGAGCAACGCCGCGUGCAGGAAGAAGGUUUCGGAUCGGUAAAACUGACUUUUCUCGGGGAAGAGAACGGACGGUACCCGAGGAAUCACGCCCGGCUAAACUACGCGCCAGCAGCCGCGGU